This 374-nucleotide ribosomal RNA is filed under the name uncultured bacterium. RNAcentral's name for it is "bacterial SSU rRNA". It matches the Rfam family "Bacterial small subunit ribosomal RNA", at positions 524 to 898 of the family's 1533-position model. The record is from RNAcentral.
UACGUAGGGUGCGAGCGUUAAUCGGAAUUACUGGGCGUAAAGCGUGCGCAGGCGGUUGUGCAAGACAGAUGUGAAAUCCCCGGGCUCAACCUGGGAACUGCAUUUGUGACUGCACGACUGGAGUGCGGCAGAGGGGGAUGGAAUUCCGCGUGUAGCAGUGAAAUGCGUAGAUAUGCGGAGGAACACCGAUGGCGAAGGCAAUCCCCUGGGCCUGCACUGACGCUCAUGCACGAAAGCGUGGGGAGCAAACAGGAUUAGAUACCCUGGUAGUCCACGCCCUAAACGAUGUCAACUGGUUGUUGGGAGGGUUUCUUCUCAGUAACGUAGCUAACGCGUGAAGUUGACCGCCUGGGGAGUACGGCCGCAAGGUUGAA